RNAcentral lists this ribosomal RNA (252 nucleotides) under Dialister succinatiphilus YIT 11850. Its description in RNAcentral is "partial 16S ribosomal RNA". It matches the Rfam family "Bacterial small subunit ribosomal RNA", at positions 524 to 776 of the family's 1533-position model. The record is from RNAcentral. Lineage: Bacteria; Bacillati; Bacillota; Negativicutes; Veillonellales; Veillonellaceae.
UACGUAGGUGGCAAGCGUUGUCCGGAAUUAUUGGGCGUAAAGCGCGCGCAGGCGGCUUCUUAAGUCCAUCUUAAAAGUGCGGGGCUUAACCCCGUGAUGGGAUGGAAACUGGGAGGCUGGAGUAUCGGAGAGGAAAGCGGAAUUCCUAGUGUAGCGGUGAAAUGCGUAGAGAUUAGGAAGAACACCGGUGGCGAAGGCGACUUUCUGGACGACAACUGACGCUGAGGCGCGAAAGCGUGGGGAGCAAACAGG